This 168-nucleotide microRNA precursor is filed under the name Pelobates cultripes (western spadefoot toad). The record is from RNAcentral. Lineage: Eukaryota; Metazoa; Chordata; Amphibia; Anura; Pelobatidae.
GCAGACACAUUCCAGCCAAUCAGCAGCAAACCCUCCCUCCCAGACCCUCCCACCUCCUGGACAGCAUCCAUUUUACAUUCAUUGUGAAGCUGCAUUCUUAGUGAGCUGUCCAGGAGGUGGGAGGGUCUGGGAGGGAGGGUCUGCUGCUGUUUGGCUGGAAUGUGUCUG